Molecule: ribosomal RNA, 497 nt
Filed under: uncultured bacterium
Lineage: Bacteria
Description: partial 16S ribosomal RNA
Rfam family: Bacterial small subunit ribosomal RNA
Source: RNAcentral
GAUGAACGCUGGCGGCGUGCCUAAUACAUGCAAGUCGAGCGAACGGACGAGAAGCUUGCUUCUCUGAUGUUAGCGGCGGACGGGUGAGUAACACGUGGAUAACCUACCUAUAAGACUGGGAUAACUUCGGGAAACGGGAGCUAAUACCGGAUAAUAUUUUGAACCGCAUGGUUCAAAAGUGAAAGACGGUCUUGCUGUCACUUAUAGAUGGAUCCGCGCUGCAUUAGCUAGUUGGUAAGGUAACGGCUUACCAAGGCAACGAUGCAUAGCCGACCUGAGAGGGUGAUCGGCCACACUGGAACUGAGACACGGUCCAGACUCCUACGGGAGGCAGCAGUAGGGAAUCUUCCGCAAUGGGCGAAAGCCUGACGGAGCAACGCCGCGUGAGUGAUGAAGGUCUUCGGAUCGUAAAACUCUGUUAUUAGGGAAGACCAUAUGUGUAAGUAACUGUGCACAUCUUGACGGUACCUAAUCAGAAAGCCACGGCUAACUACGUG